UUGACCUCGGAUCAGGUAAGGG
RNAcentral lists this ribosomal RNA (22 nucleotides) under Aspergillus tamarii. RNAcentral describes it as "partial 28S ribosomal RNA". Lineage: Eukaryota; Fungi; Ascomycota; Eurotiomycetes; Eurotiales; Aspergillaceae. RNAcentral also lists the same sequence under 1 other name. The record is from RNAcentral.